Molecule: RNA transcript, 1233 nt
Organism: Nicotiana tabacum (common tobacco)
Lineage: Eukaryota; Viridiplantae; Streptophyta; Magnoliopsida; Solanales; Solanaceae
Gene name: protein SOB FIVE-LIKE 5-like
Source: RefSeq, a predicted model, not a curated record
CUAUUGAGUGUGCUAAGUUUGGUUUUAUAUAACCUUUCUCUUCUUCUCUUCCCACUUAUAAAUACAGAACCAAUAAACAGAAUCCAACCCAAAUUAAUCUUUACUACUCCUUCCUCUAUUAAAAACCAAACCUCCAUAUUUUUUUCCUCUACUUUCAAGAAACACCAAGUGUACUUAGCCAAUAAUAAGGUGCAUUUUCACAUUUUUUAAGUAUGAACAUAUCAGCUUCUGAAUGUAGUAGUGGGUGUGAAUCUGGUUGGACAAUGUACUUAGAUCAGCUCUCAAAUUCUGAAGAUCAAUAUAACAGAAGAAAUAUUGAUUAUGGUAUAUAUAGUAAGAGUAAAACAGAACAUGUAGAUGAAUAUCAAGAAGAUGAAGAUAUGUCAAUGGUUUCUGAUGCUUCUUCUGGUCCACCACAUUUUCGUGAAGAUUAUUGCUUUGAACAAAAUGGAUAUAUUUUCUAUCCUUCAGCUUCUGAAAAUACAAAGGAAACAAAGGAGAAAAGGAAAAUGAAAGAGCAAAAGGUCAAAAAACAGAAUCUUUAUCUUGAUGAUACUGCCAGUUCUCCAUUCUCUAGUUUCCCAACGGAUAACAGAGAAUAUAAUGAUAGAACUUCUAUGGAGAUGGUAGCUGACUUCUCUGAAACACAUUCUAAGGUUACUUUUUUAUUGUCAUUCUUGGAUUAUUUGAAGGGGAGUCUUGGCGCAACUGGUAAAGUUGCUAUCACGUGAUCAAGAGUUUACGGGUUCGAGUCAUGAAAACAGUUUUUUGUAGAAAUGUAGGGGUAAAUCUGUUUUAGGGAAGCACUUUGGUUUCUUGAAAACAUCUGUGAGUGGAAGAACUUCAUCAGAAAAAUCUAGUGGUUUAAAAGGAAGGAAGAGGCAAUAAGAAUUGGCAAAGAGUAUAUUUUCUGUGUCUGCAGCUGCAAUUGAAGAGAGAAAAAGAAGAUUGUUGUUUGAGGGGUGAAUAGGGAGCAUAAAAAGGGAAAAAGGCUUUAGAUUUCUGAGGAUCUUGUUUUUAUCCUACUUUCUCCUCUUUCUUUUAAUUUUUUAUUAAUCCUCCUUCCAGUUAUUGUUCCUGUCUAUGUAGUGGGAAACAACUUUAAAACAUAAAUGUCAAAAAAAGAAGAGAGAAAACUGUCUUUAUUUUAUUAUCUCUCUCCCACACCAAACACAAUUCAGGAGAAUAAUGAUAAUAUCAAUAAUAUUAUGUCCAAUGUUCUUCACUUCAAAA